Long non-coding RNA from Myxocyprinus asiaticus (Chinese sucker), 1570 nucleotides. RefSeq lists it as uncharacterized. NCBI's taxonomy places the organism in Eukaryota, Metazoa, Chordata, Actinopteri, Cypriniformes, Catostomidae. The record is from RefSeq and is a predicted model, not a curated record. The transcript is spliced from 3 exons.
UUGAGUUGCGGGGAUCCGGGACACUUCCACAAUGCCCUGUGAUGGAGCUGGGAACGGUGGUCCGGAUCUCCGACCCUCCGCAGGCUACCUCCGAUCGGGCCGGAGCGUACCGGAUACUGAUGCAUCAUCUGCAGUAAUCCAAGCAAUGAGAGGAUGGAACAUACAACAUGCAUCUUGCAGAUGGAAUGAUAUUGGCUGGUAGUGAAAUGGAACACAGAUGACUUCUGUCACAUGGAAGAAGAAACUGGGAGACAUAGCUCGGCGUGCCAUGCACCUGGUGUAUCAAACACAUAAUGUGGCCUCCUUGUCUUUGUCACCGGUAUUUUUGGGGCCAAUCAGCUGGAAUAAAUGCCAAGUACUCUGGUGUUUGUUACCACAGGGAAAUCUUAUUUUGUCAGUUGUGAGACUGUCAAAGCGCUCUGCUCAUGUGAGAGAUUUACUUGUCUGGAGAGUGUAUGGCUGUCCUCAGCCUCCCAGCUAUUGUCAGCUACAUGUGGAGACAAGCAGCGGUUUGGAACCUCUUGCACAUUUGCAUGUGCCUCUAGUUGUUUGCAAUAGUGACGGUGUAAGGAGAGACACCCUUUCUCUUUUUUACUCCCCUUUUUACUCCCCCCUCUUCCUUCGCAAAUCCCACAUCAGUCCAUCUGGUUUAUGUUUGUUUGCCUAUGUCUGAGCCAUAGCCGCUUUUCAAACUCUUGCUUCUGGCUGCAUUGGGGUCCAGAUGGCUACUCACACACUCUUUUGGUACACUCCAUGGGUCAUCUGUGAUGAGGAAGCCCUACCCAAGACUGUGAUCCAUUAGUGUCCAGUGGUUAAGCAUUGAACAAGUAUGCUUCUCUACAGUCCCAAAGAGAGAUAGACAGCCAGCCCAAAUUCAGCCAUGGAUGGCCAGCGGGGACUUAUUUUAAGACCGAAUUUACCUUCUUAAAAUGCCGGACCUAGUUUGUAGGGAUAGUACUCCAUAAAUGAAAAUUCAGUCAUUAUUUAUUUAUUCUGUAAAUGAAUGCUGACAAAUAUUAUUUUCAUUUUUGCAUGAAUAUUCCCUUUAAAGCAAAAGCUUUGCUUGUGCUUCAAUGGUAAACGGUGGAUAAUUUGAAAAUGAAUGAGUCAAAUGUUGGCAUGGCCACUUCAAAAACAGCAGAGCACAAGAUAACACAUUAUUGGCUGACAAAGAAAUGGACUUCAGUGGAAUAUCUGCAUGUAACUUUGUGUACUGCAGACAAACCAGCAAUGGCUACAUAACCACCACAUGCAAAUGUAUAUUUCUAGAAUCCUUCUGUAGUUGUAAUCUCUUGUAAGGUUUCACAGUAAAUUUUCAAUGUAAACAGCUGAAAUGUAAGUAGGCUGCUUUGUAAUAUACAAUUUUUGGCCAUAAAAACAAAUUUGUGGUUGAUGUAAGCUUUAUUUACUGGUUGAUUUCUGUUCACCAUCUAUAAUGUUUCAGAUUCCUGGUCGAUGAAGUACAACAAAUCCAAUCAUUUCCAUCAUUUGUUCAUUGAGGAUCAUCAUUAUGCUUAAUUGUAAUUUUGAAUGUUGACAUCAUCCCACAAACUGCUGGCAGACAACAAUA